This 841-nucleotide ribosomal RNA is filed under the name uncultured bacterium. RNAcentral's name for it is "bacterial SSU rRNA". It matches the Rfam family "Bacterial small subunit ribosomal RNA", at positions 94 to 954 of the family's 1533-position model. The record is from RNAcentral.
AGUGGCGACCGGGUGAGUAACACGUGACUAACCUACCCUCGAGUGUGGAAUAACCACGGGAAACUGUGGCUAAUACCGCAUGAAGCCUGAGGGCCAAAGCUCGUGAGAGCGCCAUGGGAGGAGCCUGCGUCCGAUUAGCUUGUUGGUGGGGUAACGGCCUACCAAGGCUGUGAUCGGUAGCCGGUCUGAGAGGAUGGCCGGCCACACUGGAACUGCGACACGGUCCAGACUCCUACGGGAGGCAGCAGUGGGGAAUCUUGCGCAAUGGGCGAAAGCCUGACGCAGCAACGCCGCGUGGGGGAUGAAGCUUCUCGGAGUGUAAACCCCUUUCGACCCGGAAGAAUGUCCCGCAAGGGAUUGACGGUACGGGUAGAAGAAGCCCCGGCUAACUACGUGCCAGCAGCCGCGGUAAGACGUAGGGGGCCAGCGUUGUUCGGAAUUACUGGGUGUAAAGGGUUCGUAGGCGGUGUGGCAAGUCGGGAGUGAAAUCUCUGGGCUCAACUCAGAGGCUGCUUCCGAAACUGCUGUGCUUGAGUGUGGGAGAGGCGCGUGGAAUUGCAGGUGUAGCGGUGAAAUGCGUAGAUAUCUGCAGGAACACCCGUGGCGAAAGCGGCGCGCUGGACCACAACUGACGCUGAGGAACGAAAGCUAGGGGAGCAAACAGGAUUAGAUACCCUGGUAGUCCUAGCCCUAAACGAUCAGGACUUGGGGUGCCACCCGUUCGGGUGUCGUCCCGGAGCUAACGCGUUAAGUCCUGCACCUGGGGAGUACGGUCGCAAGACUGAAACUCAAAGGAAUUGACGGGGGCCCGCACAAGCGGUGGAACAUGUGGUUCAUUCGA